AUGUUUAAACAGGUAGUUUUGGGUGUGGUGAUCAUCGCAGCCAUCGCUAGCUAUUGGGUUUACAAUAUCAUUUACAGCAAACUGACUCAAAUGGUAGUAGAGACGGUGGAUUGUGUAGGAAAUUUGACAAUGACUGUGUUACAAUUACCUUUCCAAAAUGAAUUAGUUCUAUGGCAAAUCCUGGCACAAGUAUACAUACUAUUCAUGGCUGUGUUGCAGACCCUAACCCAAGUGAGAAAAGUUGGCAGAUUCAUGGUUCCCCUAAAGGCAGAGAAGGUUAUGGCAAUUGACAACAAUUUGGAAAAAAUGAUUAAGGCAUUAUUUGAACAGCUCAUUAAGGAAAAGGGUUUAGAUCUAGUUAUGAGCAAGGACAAUGAGCAAUCAGAGAAUGAACCUCAAGAAAAUGAAGAUAGCAGUGAUAAUGAGAACCAGGCUGCAAGUACCCCCAAGAAAAUAUGUCCAUUGAAGGAAGUCACCAAGCUAACAACUAAUGAUAGUGCUAUUCACUCUAAGACCCAUAGACGGUUCACUCCACAAGAACUUGAGUCCGUUAAACGUCGAUUUCCAAAAUUUAUGGACAAUCCCUUUAAAGCCCACAAGGAGCUGAAGAGAGCAAUAAGGAUCUUUGAUCCUGAUUUUGAAGAUUUGGAAUUUCUUUUAUCAGAAUUAUUCAGCUCCCAUGAAAAAAGGAAAUUCGUGGAGAAGACUAGAUCUGAUACCAAGUUAACAAGUUGGCCUACCCCAGAUGAGAGAGAGGACUUAGAUUUCGCCAAUCCAACCUGUAUGUCAUAUCUCAAACGAUGCAGGGAGGUUUGGAUGCUCCAAGCAAUCAAACAAUGUUGUUUCAAACUUGGUGCAUGGUCCAAAUUUGAUAAGAUUAGGCAGGAAAAUGGGGAACAUCCGGCCACAUACAUUGACCGUCUGUCAGAAAUGGCAGAGGCAAUCUUAGGUAUAGAAACAGACAAUGAAGAGACAGCUGGCCAUGUACGUAGACAAUUUCUGAGGGGAUGCACACCAAAUUUAAGGACAUUCUUUAAAAACCAUUUCCCAAAGUAUGAUUCAGUUUCCCUAAUAGAAUUGAGAGAGGCUGCAGGUUAUCUAUAUGAAAAUAGUUCAGAUCAGUGCAAGGAAGUUCAAGAUCUUAAGAAAAAGUUAGAGAGGACUGAAAAGGAUUUGAAGCAGAAAGAAACUGAGGAAAUCAAAAAUCUGAACACAGUAAAGACAAAACCUGUUUUCCAGAAAAAACCUAGUUACCAGGCAAGAUCAGUGCAAAAAGAAACUAGGGAGUGUUUCUUUUGCCACCAUAAAGGGCACUUGAUUAGAGACUGUUUCUUAAAGAAGAAACAAGAUAAUAACAGAGAAAACCAUAAUGCGGGUACUAGGUACAAGAAAUCAACUUGCUGUUCUCACUGCAAGUUGAACUCCUCACUACAGGCUCAUGAUCUGAAAGAAAUGCAAAAAGCAAUUGAAAGUGCAGCUAAACCAAAGUAUUCAGAGAUUAUUAAAUGGGAAUUAAGAAGCCAGGCCCUUGGAGAUAGAAGAAAUUAUGAACAAAGGGCAGCAGAUAAAAAUAGUAGAAAAAAGAAGAGAAAUAGUGUAAUAUUGGUGCAAGAAAGUGAUUCUGUGAAUGAUAGCCAUUGCAAUAAGGCAAGAGAAAGGCAGAGCCAGAUUAAAGAAAAUGAGGCAGAAAUUAAUGAAAUAAUAUCUCAAAUUGAAAAUGAGAUGAGAGAAUUUGAUUAG
This is a long non-coding RNA of Monodelphis domestica (gray short-tailed opossum), 1740 nucleotides long. The record is from Ensembl. NCBI's taxonomy places the organism in Eukaryota, Metazoa, Chordata, Mammalia, Didelphimorphia, Didelphidae.